Molecule: ribosomal RNA, 1627 nt
Filed under: Bifidobacterium bifidum
Lineage: Bacteria; Bacillati; Actinomycetota; Actinomycetes; Bifidobacteriales; Bifidobacteriaceae
Description: partial 23S ribosomal RNA
Rfam family: Bacterial large subunit ribosomal RNA
Source: RNAcentral
CUCCGAAUUCCACUGAUUUAUAUCCGGGAGUCAGACUGCGAGUGAUAAGAUCCGUAGUCGAAAGGGAAACAGCCCAGACCACCGAUUAAGGUCCCUAAAUAUGUGUUAAGUGGAAAAGGAUGUGGAAUUGCACAGACAACUAGGAUGUUGGCUCAGAAGCAGCCACCAUUUAAAGAGUGCGUAAUAGCUCACUAGUCGAGUGAUCCUGCGCCGAAAAUGUAACGGGGCUAAACACAUUACCGAAAUCGUGGAUGCAGCUUUGCUGCAUGGUAGGAGAGCGUUCUAAGGGCGGUGAAGCCGGACCGUAAGGACCGGUGGAGCGCUUAGAAGUGAGAAUGCCGGUAUGAGUAGCGAAAGACAGGUGAGAAUCCUGUCCACCGAAUGACUAAGGUUUCCUGGGGAAGGCUCGUCCUCCCAGGGUUAGUCGGGACCUAAGCUGAGGCCGAGAGGCGUAGGCGAUGGACAACGGGUUGAUAUUCCCGUACCGGUCUGAUUUGUUUGAGCAAUGGAGGGACGCAGGAGGCUAACGAUGCGCACUAUCGGAUGUGCGUCCAAGCAGCAAGUCUGUCGGCGAGUCAAAUGCUUGCCGGCUCAAGGACAAGCUGUGACGGGUAUGAACGAUUUAUCGUUCUAAGUGAGUGACGUCACACUGCCAAGAAAAGCUUCUAGUUAGAAUCAGACCGCCCGUACCGCAAACCGACACAGGUAGUCGGGUCGAGAAGACCAAGGUGAGCGAGAGAACUCUCGUUAAGGAACUCGGCAAAAUGACCCCGUAACUUCGGGAGAAGGGGUGCUGAUCGCAAGAUCAGCCGCAGUGAAUAGGCCCAGGCGACUGUUUAUCAAAAACACAGGUUUCUGCAAAAUCGUAAGAUGAAGUAUAGGGGCUGACGCCUGCCCGGUGCUGGAAGGUUAAGAGGAUGGGUUAGCGCAAGCGAAGCUCAGAAUUGAAGCCCCAGUAAACGGCGGCCGUAACUAUAACGGUCCUAAGGUAGCGAAAUUCCUUGUCGGGUAAGUUCCGACCCGCACGAAAGGCGUAACGAUCUGGGCACUGUCUCAACGAGAGACUCGGUGAAAUUAUAAUACCCGUGAAGAUGCGGGUUACCCGCGACAGGACGGAAAGACCCCAUGGAGCUUUACUGUAGCUUGAUAUUGGGUGUUUGUACAACUUGUACAGGAUAGGUAGGAGCCGUAGAAGUCGGGACGCUAGUUUCGACGGAGGCAUCGGUGGGAUACUACCCUCGUUGUAUGAACACUCUAACCCACGCCGGCAAUCACGGCGGGAGACAGUGUCAGGUGGGCAGUUUGACUGGGGCGGUCGCCUCCUAAAAGGUAACGGAGGCGCCCAAAGGUUCCCUCAGAAUGGUUGGAAAUCAUUCGCAGAGUGUAAAGGCAUAAGGGAGCUUGACUGCGAGACCUACAAGUCGAGCAGGGACGAAAGUCGGGCUUAGUGAUCCGGUGGUUCCGCAUGGAAGGGCCAUCGCUCAACGGAUAAAAGCUACCCUGGGGAUAACAGGCUUAUCUCCCCCAAGAGUCCACAUCGACGGGGAGGUUUGGCACCUCGAUGUCGGCUCAUCGCAUCCUGGGGCUGUAGUCGGUCCCAAGGGUUGGGCUGUUCGCCCAUUAAAGC